UUUCGUAAUCGGUUCCACUCAACGUGAUAAGUAUUUCGUUGAGGACAGUUGCAGCAAUGCGGCUGGCCGGGAUAAGAAAGGCAUAGUUGUCAGCUUCUAAUCGCCCUUGGGCAAUUUUUUAUGAUCUGGCCUCAAAUCAGGUAGGACUACCCGCUGAACUUAAGCAUAUCAAUAAGCGGAGGAAAAGAAACUAACAAGGAUUCCCCUAGUAACGGCGAGUGAAGCGGGAUGAGCUCAAAUUUAAAAUCUGGCGGUCUCAGAUCGUCCGAGUUGUAGUCUAGAGAAGCGUUUUCCGUGCUGGCCUGUGUACAAGUCCGUUGGAACACGGCGUCAUAGAGGGUGAGAAUCCCGUCCUUGACACAGAUCUCCAGUGCUUUGUGAUGCGCUCUCAAAGAGUCGAGUUGUUUGGGAAUGCAGCUCAAAAUGGGUGGUAAAUUCCAUCUAAAGCUAAAUAUUGGCGAGAAACCGAUAGCGAACAAGUACCGUGAGGGAAAGAUGAAAAGCACUUUGGAAAGAGAGUUAAACAGUACGUGAAAUUGUUGAAAGGGAAACGAUUGAAGUCAGUCAUGCUUUCCGAGACUCAGCCGGUUCUGCCGGUGUACUUCUCGGUUUGCAGGCCAGCAUCAGUUUUGGGCGGUGGAAAAGGUUGGCGGGAAUGUGGCAUCCUCGGAUGUGUUAUAGCCCGCUUUCGAAUACAUC
This 699-nucleotide ribosomal RNA is filed under the name Tausonia pullulans. RNAcentral describes it as "eukaryotic LSU rRNA". The stretch from base 127 to 699 matches the Rfam family "Eukaryotic large subunit ribosomal RNA", at positions 1 to 577 of the family's 3401-position model. Lineage: Eukaryota; Fungi; Basidiomycota; Tremellomycetes; Cystofilobasidiales; Mrakiaceae. The record is from RNAcentral.